RNAcentral lists this ribosomal RNA (429 nucleotides) under Chloroflexota bacterium. RNAcentral's name for it is "Chloroflexi bacterium partial 16S ribosomal RNA". It matches the Rfam family "Bacterial small subunit ribosomal RNA", at positions 355 to 776 of the family's 1533-position model. The record is from RNAcentral. Lineage: Bacteria; Bacillati; Chloroflexota.
UGGGGAAUAUUUCACAAUUGGCGCAAGCCUGAUGCAGCCAUGCCGCGUGUAUGAAGAAGGCCUUCGGGUUGUAAAGUACUUUCAGUCGGGAGGAAGGUGGUAAGGUUAAUAACCUUGGCAAUUGACGUUACCGACAGAAGAAGCACCGGCUAACUCCGUGCCAGCAGCCGCGGUAAUACGGAGGGUGCAAGCGUUAAUCGGAAUUACUGGGCGUAAAGCGCACGCAGGCGGUUGAUUGAGUCAGAUGUGAAAUCCCCGGGCUUAACCCGGGAAUUGCAUCUGAUACUGGUCAGCUAGAGUCUUGUAGAGGGGGGUAGAAUUCCAGGGGUGGCGGUGAAAUGCGUAGAGAUCUGGAGGAAUACCGGUGGCGAAGGCGGCCCCCUGGACGAAGACUGACGCUCAGGUGCGAAAGGGUGGGGGGCAAACAGG